RNAcentral lists this ribosomal RNA (393 nucleotides) under uncultured bacterium. Its description in RNAcentral is "bacterial SSU rRNA". It matches the Rfam family "Bacterial small subunit ribosomal RNA", at positions 958 to 1354 of the family's 1533-position model. The record is from RNAcentral.
AACGCGAAGAACCUUACCCACCUUUGACAUGUAUGGAAGAUCGCAGAGACGCGAUUGUGCUCGAAAGAGAGCCAUAACACGGGUGCCGCAUGGCGGUCGUCAGCUGGUGUGUGGAGAGGGGGGUUAAUUCCCACAAAGAGCACCCCCUUUGUCAUUAGUUGCUACAUUCAGUUGGGCACUCUAAUGAGACUGCCGGUGACAAACCGGAGGAAGGUGGGGAUGACGUCAAGUCCUCAUGGCCCUUAUGGGUGGGGCUACACACGUCAUACAAUGGCUGGUACAAAGGGUUGCCAACUCGCGAGGGGGAGCUAAUCCCAUAAACCCAGUCGUAGUCCGGAUGUAGUCUGCAACUCGACUCCGUGAAGUCGGAAUCGCUAGUAAUCGCGAUCAGCA